RNAcentral lists this ribosomal RNA (491 nucleotides) under uncultured bacterium. RNAcentral describes it as "partial 16S ribosomal RNA". It matches the Rfam family "Bacterial small subunit ribosomal RNA", at positions 29 to 507 of the family's 1533-position model. The record is from RNAcentral.
AGUGAACGCUGGCGGUAGGCCUAACACAUGCAAGUCGAACGGCAGCACAGUAAGAGCUUGCUCUUACGGGUGGCGAGUGGCGGACGGGUGAGGAAUACAUCGGAAUCUACUUUUUCGUGGGGAUAACGUAGGGAAACUUACGCUAAUACCGCAUACGACCUACGGGUGAAAGCAGGGGAUCUUCGGACCUUGCGCGAUUGAAUGAGCCGAUGUCGGAUUAGCUAGUUGGCGGGGUAAAGGCCCACCAAGGCGACGAUCCGUAGCUGGUCUGAGAGGAUGAUCAGCCACACUGGAACUGAGACACGGUCCAGACUCCUACGGGAGGCAGCAGUGGGGAAUAUUGGACAGCGGGCGCAAGCCUGAUCCAGUCAUACCGCGUGGGUGACGACGGCCUUCGGGUUGUAAAGCCCUUUUGUUGGGAAAGAAAAGCAGCAGGUUAAUACCCCGCUGUUCUGACGGUACCCAAAGAAUAAGCACCGGCUAACUUCGUG